GAUGAACGCUAGCUACAGGCUUAACACAUGCAAGUCGAGGGGAAACGGCAUUAAGUGCUUGCACUUUUUGGACGUCGACCGGCGCACGGGUGAGUAACGCGUAUCCAACCUUCCCAUGACUAAGGGAUAACCUGCCGAAAGGCAGACUAAUACCUUAUGGUCUUCUCUGACGGCAUCAGAUGUGAAGUAAAGAUUUAUCGGUUAUGGAUGGGGAUGCGUCUGAUUAGCUUGUUGGCGGGGUAACGGCCCACCAAGGCAACGAUCAGUAGGGGUUCUGAGAGGAAGGUCCCCCACAUUGGAACUGAGACACGGUCCAAACUCCUACGGGAGGCAGCAGUGAGGAAUAUUGGUCAAUGGGCGAGAGCCUGAACCAGCCAAGUAGCGUGCAGGAUGACGGCCCUAUGGGUUGUAAACUGCUUUUGUAUGGGGAUAAAGUCAAUCACGUGUGAUUGUUUGCAGGUACCAUACGAAUAAGGACCGGCUAAUUCCGUG
RNAcentral lists this ribosomal RNA (492 nucleotides) under uncultured bacterium. RNAcentral describes it as "partial 16S ribosomal RNA". It matches the Rfam family "Bacterial small subunit ribosomal RNA", at positions 28 to 507 of the family's 1533-position model. The record is from RNAcentral.